RNAcentral lists this ribosomal RNA (253 nucleotides) under uncultured bacterium. RNAcentral's name for it is "partial 16S ribosomal RNA". It matches the Rfam family "Bacterial small subunit ribosomal RNA", at positions 524 to 776 of the family's 1533-position model. RNAcentral also lists the same sequence under 1 other name. The record is from RNAcentral.
UACGAAGGGGGCUAGCGUUGCUCGGAAUUACUGGGCGUAAAGGGCGCGUAGGCGGGUGUUUAAGUCAGAGGUUAAAUCCCAGGGCUCAACCCUGGAACUGCCUUUGAUACUGGGCACCUAGAGUUCGGGAGAGGUGUGUGGAACUCCGAGUGUAGAGGUGAAAUUCGUAGAUAUUCGGAAGAACACCAGUGGCGAAGGCGACACACUGGCCCGAUACUGACGCUGAGGCGCGAAAGCGUGGGGAGCAAACAGG